UACGUAGGGAGCAAGCGUUGUCCGGAAUCAUUGGGCGUAAAGCGCGCGUAGGUGGCUUCGUAAGUCCGUUGUGAAAGUCAAAGGCUCAACCUUUGAAAGCCGAUGGAUACUGCGGAGCUAGAGUUCGGAAGAGGCGAGUGGAAUUCCUGGUGUAGCGGUGGAAUGCGCAGAUAUCAGGAGGAACACCAAUAGCGAAGGCAGCUCGCUGGGACGUUACUGACACUGAGGCGCGAAAGCGUGGGGAGCGAACAGG
This 253-nucleotide ribosomal RNA is filed under the name uncultured bacterium. RNAcentral's name for it is "partial 16S ribosomal RNA". It matches the Rfam family "Bacterial small subunit ribosomal RNA", at positions 524 to 776 of the family's 1533-position model. The record is from RNAcentral.